GAAAGAAGAGCUUAAAUAGAAGAGAGAGAGAGAGAGAGAUAUAUAUAUAUAUAUAUAUAUAUAUAUAUAUAUAAUGGAAUACUUCAACGUACUUUCUUCCUUAAAAAAAAUUAGCUGAUGGAAAACGAAGCACUAAUCAUAAAGGAUGACUGUUGACGAUAACACUCUGAAAAUAAAUAUUUACUUUAAAAAGAGAUGAUCGACUUUGAUCCUUGCACUGGAAAUGUAUAACAAAUGAUUAUUAUCUCGGAACGAGGACAACAUACAUCAUGGAAUUAACCAAUUAGAUCGAUUUUUUCGAGCUAUCGAAUAAAAUGAUUAAUUAUUAUUAAUUUUAUUAUAAUAAUAAUUAGAUUAUUUAUAUAAACUAAUAAAUUAGACUGAGAAUUAUGAAAUUCAAUUGAGACUAGAUGUGUUUGGAAUUUAUGAUACCAAAACAGGAGAGGUUUGCUUGAGCCUAUGCACCUUAUAAACAUGUUGAGUAAAAUUGUAAUUAAUAAAGCAUGUAUAUUACUUCAUAAGUAUAUUAUUGGAAAAAUGAUCAUAAAAAAAUAUUAUUCAUGUUCAAUUAUUGAAGUCCCUCGAUUGUUAGAUAAGAUAAGAUAUAAAAUAAUAUGAUUGUUAUUAGCUUGAUAACUUAGCUAAAUGUGUUAUGGUACUUAAGGCCUAGAUGUUGAUGAAAUCCCUUUACAAUAAGUCAUAUUUUAUACUUAUUAAUGGACCUAUCAGAAUUUUAUUUGAUAUAAAAAACUCAAUUGUACCCAAUAAAGGUUUAAUUUAGAUAAGAUGAGACUAAGUCUCAUAUAUUAUUUCAUAAUAAAAUAUUAUAUUAUCCAGAUGCUGAUCAUUCAAGAAUUUUUAAAACUUGGUUGAUAGUAAAAGGCUCAUAAAUGAAUUUUUGAGAUUAUUUUAUAAUAAAAAAAAUUAUUUAUUUUAAAGACUUAAUUUUUGGAUCUAUUAACUAUUGAAUGAAUUAAUAUAUGGCCAACAACAUCUCCAGUACUAGACAAGAAUAAUUUAAUAGGGGAUAUUGAAACCAAAUUUUAUUCUGAAUUCUCUUGAUGCGUGAUAUUCUAAUAGGGGAAUUGGAUGAAUGAUGUAACUUAUUAUUUAUCAUGCACCAAUGAGUAGAGACCUGAUGGGUCUCAAGUGAAUAAGGUGUUUAGAUUGAUUUAUACAUUUUAGGAAUUCAAUCAACUAAAUUAUUGAAAAGUUCAGACAAAAAAAGGUCAAGUAAUUUAUAAGAAAAAAUAGAUUCCACAAAAUCAAAAUAUUUUUUUAUAAAAAAAUAAAAAUUCUUUUAGUUGAUGGAUCACAAUAUUUAAAAAUAUUUUGGUUGGUAGAAUAUCUAAGAAAAAAUACAUGAUUUUGAUUGGGCAUCCAAUUUAUUACGUGUGAAGUGUUUAACCAUGGAUAACAUAGACACUAAAAUAUAAAUAAUUUACUAUAGUUAAAAGUAGAUUCAAAUAAUUUUUCAAAUGAUGAAACCAUAUUGAAAACCGAAGUGGACAUAUGAUUAAUAAGAUGUUGAUGCAACAAACACAUGAGACUAAAAUUAAAGAGAUAAAGAAGUUUGAGGAAGGAGUGUGAGACCAAUUCAGACGAUGUGCUGAUGACGACAUUCUGUGGUUUCAUUAUGUUUAGAAAUAUAUGAAAUGGUGAGAAAAUGAGAGAUUCCAUCGGUUUAAAAAAAAUAUAUAAAGAUUUUAAAAUUUAUCAUUAUUAUUAGAGUAAAAUAAAAUAAUGAAUCAUUGAACAAUAAGUUUAAAUUUAAGAAAAAUAAUGAAUACUUUAUAUUUUUUACUUUAUAGAAAAUAAUCGCAUAAACUUUAUAAAAUGAUUAAAAAAAUGAUAAUAGUUAAAUCCAUCAUAAGAUUAUAUUGAUGAAGAACCCCAAAUAUCAGCUCGAGGUGAAUUACUUACUAGAGAAGAUGUAGAAAAUGGAAGCUUAUGAAUUUUAUUAUAUGUGCAUAAAUUACAUAAAAAUAUGACAAGAUGAUGAUGAUAAAAGUAAAUUAAAAUAACAAAUAAUAUGAUUUAGAAGCUUAAAAGAAGAAUGUCUUAAAUGAUUAUGUCAUUUUUUUGAAAUAGAGCAUUAAUGGUGGUCAAAGUAAAGAUGGAUUUUGAUGUAAAUAUAUAAUACUUGGCCAUUCAUAAGCUCAAUCUCUAUUUAGCACCUCUAUAAGAUGUGGCCCCGUAUUAAGAUCCUUUACAAAAAAUAAAAAAAAAUAUAAGAAUUGAAUAUAAAUAUAAUUAAAAAAUAUAUAUAAUUUAUAGAUAAAUUUUAGGUUCUUCUUCAUAUUAGGAACAUAAUGAACAUAAAAAAUAUAUAAAAAAAAAGAUUUAAGGAAGAGGGAAGGUUUGUAGAACUAAUAUAAAUCAUUUUUAAGACAUUUACCGCCUAUCAUGAUAUGAAGUCAGUUUGAUGAAGGUUGAAAGGAUUGAGAAACAAAGUAAGCACAUGACGAUGCUAAUAAAAAUCAAAUAGGUGUCGUAUGAUAUGUAAAAUAAGAUGAGUAUGAAGGCUAAAAUAUCUAUAGAAUAGUAGCUUGCAAGUGAUGACAUUUCUUAGCAAUAUAACUUUUCAUAUCAUAUAUUUGAUAGAUGACUUUAUUAUUGAAUUGUUGCUCCAAUUUGUUAAUACUUUUGUCGUGACAUUGUUGCAUGUUGUCUCCAGAAUGAUUAUUUAGACAAUUAUUUUGCUAGUUAUGGAUUUUGCCUUUGUUGUUAGAAUUAGCUUUGUUAGCAAAAUUAUUAAUAAAUCCAUUUGCCUAAGUUUUGAUAGCUUGCAUAUAAUUAAAAAUACAUUAUGUGCCCUUUGAAAGUUUGGAGAGUUUCUCAAAAUUGUAUAAGAUGAUCACGAGAUUGAUUGGAAUAUAUUGUUGUAAGCUUGGAUCACAAGGAUUUUGUAAAAGCUACAUAAGGAAUGAUUUGAGGAGAGAGAGCGAUAGCACUAGCACUUCUAAGAAAAUGAUAUUGAUGGAUUAAAAAAAAUAUGAUGAGGAUUAAUAACUUUAAGAUUAUUCUCUAAGUUGAAAAUGAUAAUGAGCAGCGAGACAUUAUUGAUUAUCAAAAAAAUAGAGAAUAAAAUACUCGAAGAAAAAGAGGAGUGAUCCUCAUUAUUUGAUAUAAUCAUGAUAAUAUGUUUUUAUAUUUUUUAUUUAAAAAUAUGAUAAUAUAUUAUUAAAAUAUUAAAAUAUUAUUGAAAUCAUGAUCCUUAUUAUUUGACAUAAUCAUGAUAAUAUAUUAUUAUAAUUUUAUGAUUUAGAAUAUGAUAAUAUAUUAUUAAAAUAUUAAAAUGAUCACGAUAAUUUUAGCAUAACUUAUGUUUCACAAUAAUAUCCUUCUUAAUUCAUGUUACUGCACUUGAAAUUGACCAAAGGAUGGGCAAAGCAAACGAUCGGUGCCAAACCAUAUGCAACAAGGUCCAUUGCCGUCACUCCACUUGCCUCCAUCGCUGUUGUCCGAAGACGAUCCGACGUCCACAAACCGGAGACGAAAAAGGCGUGCACAGUGGAACCACUGUCAUUGCUGCAGCAAGACGCGGACCCGAAGAUGGCAGCGUCGGAGCUCUUCAUGGCGUCAAGCAAGCGAGGCCAUACAUUCCACGACUGGAGUGGGUCGUCCUCAGAUAUCAUCCCCUCGUGUUAUCUCCAUGACUUGCCAUCGUUGCAGUGAGAUCGCCGGAUUACCGCCGGUCGAUCACGCGGCUCAUUAUGUAGCGUUGAAUUCAUAGCACAACAGGUCGCGAUCACACCGGCUUUGGAUUUAUUCUUCUACCAUGCGCUGCCGGUGGCGACAUGAUCCGUUAGGCAGGCGAGGAGCCCACCCACGGUCGCUGUGGAGUACUGAUAGCUACCUUUUGAUGAUAAUGAUUUGAGCAAGCUCAGCCAACGAAGGUUGUGCAUUGCUGAUACAAGUAAGACUUGGGGAGAAGUUAUCUUUGUCUGGUAAUCGUACAGAUGAAAUCUUUCUUGGAUUUGCCGGUGUUGGAAGUACUAAUCUAUGGAUAUCAUAUGCCUUUCAAUACAAAAUACAUGCAGAGCACAAAAUAGAAUGCUAUCGUAAAAUAUUUUAUCCAAUUAAAUAUAUUAUAAAAAAUCAUUAUCAAUCGAUCAUAAGUUUGAGUUUGAGUUUUCUUUUCAGUCAUAUCAGAUUUCUUAGAUCAUAAGUUUGAAUUUUCUUUUCAAUCAUAUCAGAUUUCUUAGGCAUAUGUGCCUUCUAAUCAAGUGGGACUAAUUUAGUAGUUGUGGUCGUCCACGUAAGGUGUAUCUUUCACGGCUGGUUGUUCUUUGAUGCCUUACUCAAACGCACGCACGCUUUUGCUUUUGUGAUAUGACUCGUUGAGUUAGUCCUUUCACCGGCUUUCUCCAGCUUCUUCUUCUUCGCUCGCCAUGUUCGUUCUCAUUCCUACUGAAAGAAACCAGGCUCUCCAUCAAGGGAAGAAUCGAUAGAGAUGAUGCUGAUUUGUUCUCUGGUUUGUGGCUUUUUGACCGUGGCUUUAUCUCCAAGUGCAAACACCUUUUUGCCUUGAUGAAACCAAACAGUAGAAGAAGAAGAAGAAGAAGAACACAAACUCCAUCUUCCAACUCUUGACCUUCCCCACCUCUACUUCUAGCUCAGCCGACCUACCGCCCCCCCCUCUUCGUGAAAGAGGCACAAGACUUGACCAUCCAUCAUCUCUCAAUUUUUUAAAGUACAAAUCUAUCUUUAGAUAAUCCCACACAAGAUACGUGCUUUGUCAAAUCUAUGCACUCUUCUCAUGAUUCACAACAUACUUGAGGCUCCACAUGGUUGUGUGGUCAUGGAAGUGGUUGCUGCCUUCAUGGAACUUCAAGAUUCUGACCUGCAAAGCAGAGGCCAAGUAGUGUGGCAGUAAGUGGGUCGAAACAAAACUGUCCUUCUCAUCCCAACCUAAUGAAUUGAGACUUCUGUGUUUAAUUUGGAUUAAACUGUUGCUGGGUCCAUGCAUCAUCCAUCCAUUUUGUCCAUUGAGAUAAAGCUUGGUAUGGUCAUGACUGAUGGAAGUGGAACAAGAGCCAAUUCCUUCUCCACCUAAAAGUUGAGCUUCCACAGCCCACAGAUGUGAUUCCAGCUGGUUGAUACUUGAUGGAAGAAAAGGUCAAAGCAUAUAUGUCUGUUCAUCUCUUCACAACUUUCUUGGUUUUUUGCAGAGGCAAAAAAAUAUGCCCAAAGAUUGGGCUAAGAAUGCAUUGCAGCACAUCAUUCACAUGGUUUCAGAGUUCAGACAUGUAUGGAAACCAUAGACACAGAGGGAAAGCUCCUACCCCAAAUGACAGCCUAGAUGCAAUGAACAACAGAAGGAAACAGUCAUCACAUUAGUUUAUUUAUGAAGGUAAUGUGUAGGAUGUGACUCAACAAAGAAAAUGAAAUCUAUAAAUUAAUCCAUCUACAACAAUGACCAUGUAUAUGUUGCUCAGAAAGGAAUGUUAACCAAGGACAUAAAGCUUAAUCCAAAGCAUGAAGUCAGAGUUAUAUCACAGCAGAGCAUCUGCUGGAUAUUCUUUAGAACUUUGCUUUCUAGUUAGAGAAUUAUCAUGCUGGAAUAGAUUGCAGUGAAUCUGUUCAUCAACUACAUACAUAUGAAAGAUGGUUCACAUGAAUAUCAACACUUGCGAUUGAUUAUAAAUGACAAUUUUUUGCUGGUUCGACACAACUUGGCCAUCAGAAUUCAUUCUGGGUCGAAAAAAGUUGCAGUUCAAAACAUUGACUUCCACUAAAGAAUCAACUUCUCCGAAUGACAUCUUGCUGGGACAAUAUAAUGGUACAAGAUGCAAUUCGUUUACUGUGCAUAAAGGACAGUAAAGGCUUUGUUUGUCUGAAGGAAAACAGGACAUUUUGCUAAUCCAGGUAGAUUUCUUGAAGCAGUGCGUUGAAAUGCUUGCUGUUCUCAUAGGAAUUCAAGAACUUAUAUCAAGAGGUUAUCAAUUUGAGGUCGAAAAAAUCCAACUUAAAUUAAUGUCAGCAGCAGACUUUUUUUAUCCGCAUAAACAAUUGAGAAAUCGCAAAGAACACAUCGGUUGUUGACCGCAACUGCAGCUGGCUUUCGUGACCUGCGUGUGGAAGUCAAAAGUAGUCGUACGAUUCCUCAAAUAAGAAAACGAAAGAGAUGAUAUCGGCACAAGAAAACACUGAAUAAUGCAUCAGAAGUGCAAGUUGCCUAAUGUUCAGUCCGAGGCAUCUCAUCCUUUGUUUCUGAAACAUGGAGAAGAAUGAGACAACAUGUGCAACUCUGCGGCCUCCUGAAUUCUCAGUCUAAAUUUCAUAUAGCCGAAAAACCGAGGAAGAAUUCCAGAGACAAUAAUUUAAUAUAGUUGGAUGUGGUAGGAAAAACUAUGAUGGAUCCACUUCAACUGCUAAACUUGCAUAGACUUCAUAAGAAUAUAUUGUCAUCAAGCAUCAAUCAACAAGGACUUAAAUUUAGGCAGUAUCAUAUCCAAGUAGCAAAAUACAUGUUAUUCUUAAGUUUGUGUCUUUUGUCAUCCUAUUCAGCAAACAAAAUUCUACAAUGAUACAGUGGUUUCUUCUAUAGAGAUGUUUACCGGUAGCUAUCAGGAUUUACCUAUUCAUGAAGCAAUAGAACAUCAUGUGCCACAUCUUCAGGAACCAAGCAGAAAACAUCACACAGGAAAUAGUGGAAGAUUCUCCAAAGCUGUACUGCAAAACACUUGAUUAGCUUCAGCAAAAAACAGUCUGAAAGAAUGAAGAUUGAAGUUGUUAUUUCUGAGUUCUGAUUAUAUAGUGUUUACUGAUUGAACCUUGAUGAGCAACAAAAAGAAAGCUAAGAUUCAGUUUGAAGACUAUAAACACUGUAUAAUUGUUUGAUGAGCUAUGUGCUCUCAACUAUUCAUCAAAAUUAUAGAGUUCUGAGUUCUGAUUAACUAAGAAAAACAAACUUAAUUCUUUUAGCUGACUAUGAUAUCAUGUGAGAAAUCAUAGCUCUGAUGCUAAAAAAAAUCAAAUGCAUAUUUCCCAAUGUGCUACCUGAAACAUCAAAAAGUAAAAAAGUCACAGUAAUAAGGUAGUCAAAACUAAGUUGCAGAACACUAUUUGGAAAGAAGCUCAUUGAUUCCUCCCAUAACCACUUGCCUAGCUGAGAAGUACAGGUUUGCUUUUUAGUGUUCUGAUUCAAGACUAUGUGAAGGUCAAGAAACCAGAGGACUUACUGUCGAUCAACAUGGCUUCUACCUCAUCAGUGACGAGACCUCACUGACAGAUAACCUAUGUUGUGUGGGAAGAGGAUAUUGGGCUACUUGAACAAUUGGCCUACUUCAAAUCUAAACCCAGCCUGACCCAUCUGCUUUUAAUCCUUUGACUUGUUAUUGCCAAUUCAGUGAAGUGGGCACUAAACUUGCAAUGUUUAGUGCCAUGGAGCCAAACAAAAAGGCAACAAAGCUACAAGUAAGCCAAUUCAGAAGACAAGCUAACUUUAUAGCGAUCUCAGUGCCUGGUUGGUGCUUCAGCAAACUUAGGCUACUCGGUCCUUCAAUCCCCAUCCAACAGACCAAGGAUAUGAAAUGCAAACAGCUCUGCAUAAAGUCAUGAAGCCAUCACAUGGUUCCUAGUGGCUCCAAUGAGGGUCCUUUCAGAAAGCCAAAAGUAUAGAAAUCAUUGCAGAUCCUCAUAUUCCUUUUGUUGGAAUGAGAGAGGCCAUGACACAAACUCCCAUCCAGGCAUAGAAUAAUGCUCUUCAACCAAGGAUCCUGAGGAAGAGACAUGUGACUAGUUAUUAGAAAGCCAUGUUCCAUGACCUAAAAGCUUGGAUUGUCCCCCCACUCUAGCGUCUGAGAGAGAGGGGGGUUCAAAGCUGAAAGAAUCUCCUUCACCAAAAAAGCACAUGAUUGCAAUGAAGUGGCAGCAUUAGGAGAACAGAGCUUCAUCCCCUCAAAUGCCAUCUCCCACUGGUAUUACGUUGCCCACUGGAUUCCCUCUGGAUGCUAACCAGAGUUCCAAACUUGACAUUGUUGAGAACAAUGAGGAGUCUUUUUCUGCUUGUGUGAGGUGGUGUUCUGCUGACACCCCGCUGUUCGAGCUGUGGCCAGAGAAGUCUUUGAAGCAAUAGUUGGUUGGCACUCUGGCACAAGCUGAGCAGGAAAUGCGAAGGCCAAACAGUCGCAUGAACUGUAAACAAGAAAUAAUGAUGAAACAUUGAGCCGAGUGCUUAACACGCACAGAAAUCCCUCGCGCUUAUCUCUGUUUGUGAGGAUAUGGGACACUGUUCCUGCUAAAAUUCUACAUCAGGUUCUUUGACUUGCCUUUGGCUUGUCGCCACAGUAACUUCUCCACUGCACUUCCACACACAGCAUCAGAUCCAUUAAUAUGCCCAAAGAUAUGCUCAUAAAAACAUCUCAUUAUGAUCGUCAAUCCAAUGUCACCAAUAUCCAUUUAGUGAUCUCGGUGAAGGGUCGGCUGCAGCAUCAGUUAAUGCGAGAUCAGCCUGCGAGAUCUGCUUUGGAGUUCGUGCCACCUCACGCUCGCAGUACAGUAGAAGCGGGUCCGCCGUCGGAUAUGCUGGGCCAAGUCCCGCCGAACCGUUUGAUCUUCGACCAGGGAGUAACUCGUGAUGUAAUCUAACCAUGCCAUGACAAACUCCAUGUUCCCCAUGCACACGUAUCGGACAAACUAGUGCGUUUUGGACUCUCUUGAACAUGGCAUUGCUGCAGCGUCGAUGAUAACACAUCUGAGCACCGUUUGCAACUUGUCUCAUCCUACCAAGGAAAGAAGGAAAUAUUUACUACCUGUGUUCCACGCUGAUGUUGGAUUAGGACUGUUCCCGAAAGUUUUAAGUUGAUGGAGAAGACACGGGGAGACUAUUAUGGCCAGUCGGGGGCCCCACAGCCGAUGCCCAGUUUCCCUUCGUGGCACGUUUCGUGGCCGGUCGGAAAGCAUCUCGUGGCUGGCAGGAAACCAACAAGCGGGGGGGUGACUUCCGUCGUGAGGCGAGGGCAGUUUCGUGAUUCUUGGGACGCCCUCGAAAGAGACUCGUCGGAGCACCCACAACCGCCUGCCCGAAAUGCCCCUCCUAGUUGGAGCAUCAUUUCUCGGCGUACAUGGAAAGGAUGGGCAGCAUGGUCAUUUUGAUCAUUUGUUGGCAUCGUCGAAGCGUACUGCAGGUCACCUGUCUCGUUUCCACCCCACAAUUCCGCAGCACGGCGACACGAGGAGGAGGAGAUCCACCGUCAUGAUAUCACGUGGCGACCCCCUUACGUGGCCGCCACACCAAGGAAUUCGAACAAGUAAAAGAUACGUUACGAGACCAUGGGACAACCAACAGCAAUGUGAUCUACUCUUUACCUGAUGCAGCAGUCCUUGGAGACGACUUCCAAAAAGAGUUGCUGCUGCAACGCCAUCACCAAAACAAUCAACCGCCCCUUCUUUGCUCUCGUCUCCGUAUAAAGUUUAAAGGUGACAACCGCAGCAGACUGCGUUGAUGGGAUCAAAGAUGAGGAGGAUUCGCCGUUCUCGUCACGUGCUCGGGAGCACGGCGACCGCCAGGGGCCGUCGGGGUACCGGUCAAAGCUAGACGGUGCGGAGCGCGACAAGGCCGUCACGGGAACACUUCACAGGAAUCUCAGCCCCUGCAAAUACAACGUCGAUUACCCACUCCUCCACCCAUCUCGGAUCGCCACCGGGUCCCGCGUCGGUCUCCUCCACUUGCGACGCAGGUUAGGGUACGACGGGAACGGGUGGGGAUGAAUAAUGCCGCUCUGUACCCGCACAAAAAAUGAUCACUUGCGUGUCGGCAUCGUGUUCGUCCUUAUCGUGGACCGGACCGAUCCUAGUGCGAACCGGUCUAUAUAAAUGAGCCGCAGGAGUGGCGGAGUACUUCAUCUUCAAGUACGUUGGGCUUCUUUGGUCGCGGCGUAAUUUCCCGAUUCUGCGAGACCUCUUUGUUUAAUGGUAUAGAUGACCGCCUCCGCCAUGGUUACCGACGUCGCCAUCUCGACAGAGGCUUUCCUCGACCGGCCGGCGGCCUUAUCGGCCUUCUGCCGCCUCGGCUCGAGGAUCUCCCUCGGCCGCGAUCUCAUCGCCGCCGACAAGGCGGGGGAGCCGGCCGACGUGGGCCCUGAUGGGGAGGAUUCUGGUGGAGACUUCGUCGACUUCGAGUUCCGGCUCAAUCAUCCCGUCGCCAUGCUCCCUGCCGACGAGCUGUUCGCCGAUGGGAAGCUGGUACCGCUUCAGCUGGCGGCGACGAAGCCGGUGUCGAUGCACCCCGUGGCUGAGAUCCGCUCGCCGGAACAGCCGAAGUCGCUGAGGGUGGCCCAGGUCUCUGGUUCGGACCCCUAUGUCUUCUCUCCCCGCGCGCCGAGCUGCACCAGCCGAUGGCGGGAGCUGCUCGGCCUCAAGCGGGCGGCGAUCACGAAGGCGGACCACCCCGAGAACGUUUCGCCCGCCCCUGCUGCCGCCAAGUCCAAUAACCCUAACCCUGACGCCCGAUCCCUGAAGCAUUUCUUUCACCGGAACCACAAAUCGUCCCCGCUCGAGCCGUCGCUGAGCCUGCCCCUCCUCCGCGACUCCGACUCGGAAUCGGUCUCGAUCUCCGCCCGCCUCUCCCUCUCCUCUUCCUCCUCCUCCGGCCCGGACCACGAGGACCUCCCACGGUUCUCCCUCGACUCCGACAAGCCCAACCACCACAUCCCCAUGGUCCGGCUGGUCCGGCCGCUGCCGGCAGCGACGGAACUCGGACGGAGCCGGAUCAGGCGGACCGGGUCAUCGGAGAUGGCCACACCGCCGCCGCUGACCGUGCCGGUGGACAGCCCGCGGAUGAACCCGUCGGGGAAGGUGGUGUUCCACGGGCUGGAGCGGAGCUCGAGCAGCCCCGGAAGCUUCACGGGCGGGCCACGGCCGCGGCCGCGGGGGAUGGAGCGGUCCUACUCGGCCAACGUCGUCCGGGUCGCCCCGGUCCUCAACGUCCCAGUAUGCUCCCUCCGCGGUUCCGCAAAGUCCAGCCCGGUCUUCGGGUUCGGCCAGCUGUUCUCGCCGCCGAAGAAGGAGAAGGCCGGGCCGGGCGCAUCCGCGGCUCGGAGCGGUGGCAGCGCGAAGACCAAGAGCGACAAGGCAUCGAAUUCGUGGAAUUAGGCAGCAAAUCCCGCCUCUUGUUCAUCAAAGGUCGUUCCAUUACCCGUUCAAAUUUACCCUUCCUUAGUACUGUUAAUUUCGGCUUCUUUUUUUCGCCUUUGGAAUUCCCCUCUCCAAAAUCUCUGCACGACGAUUCGCCUGUAAAUAUUUGUCUCGCGCAACCGUUCUCUUCUGUCGUCUUGCGCUUCAUGUAAUAUUUAUGUGGUCUGUUGUUGCUGCGGUGCGGUGCGGUGCGGUGCGAUGCGGUGAGGUGGAUUGGAUCUGCGGGAGCGCACUACGGGCCAUGUGCUCGACGCCUCGAUCGGGGCGCGCAUUGCCAUGCCUUCUCCUCCUCCUCCUCCUUCCCCCCUCCCUCCUGCCUGUCCUCGUUGGCCGUACACCUGUACCCCAUGUGAUGUGCACGCCCUUCCAAGCCCACUUGUGACGGAUUAACCCGCAGGGAGUCAUAUUUAACCCCACAACCCAUGGGUUGGGGUUUGUCAACGGGUCGUAUUCUCUUGGGAAACGAAGCAAGAUAUGAAAUCAGAGGGUGUGCUGUCUCUGAGGAGCAGCAGCUCUGUGCUGAAUUGUUUGCACGUCGGGCGGAUCCCAAAUAUGCCGGUAUAUAAAUUUAAUUUCCACUGUUUGUGUUCUUCGGCUUGUCUUGUUUGGACUCGCUGAGAGAGAGAGAGAGAGAGACGGUGGUUGUCAUCGGACGGUCCGUGCUGUGUCUCAAAGCCAUUUUGUUCCCCCCUCUCGUCUCGAUCCUUUUGGAUUAAAUUAAACCGCUGGGAAUUUAACUAUCGUUGGGUUCGGUGUGGCGAUGGUUAACUGUACUUUAGUGUUUAGGUGAUGGUCGGAUUGUCUCAGGGAUAGUGACAAUUAAAAUUAUAAGGAUUAAAAUUGUAUUGGACUGAGAUCCUAAGAUCGAAUUAAUGGUCUCGCAAGAUUCGAUAAAAUUGUUUGCACGUAAUAAUAAUUUAUUGUAUCCAAUUAAGAAAUAUGAAAAAUAUUUAAUUAGAAAUAAAAUCUUUUUUAAAAAAUAUUAAAAUUAAAAAGUAUAGUAUCACUCGGUCGAGCCAAUAGAAAAAAAAAAGUCGAUAUUGAUCAGUAUCGCUCUCUCAACUUUCUAUUUUAGUUCAUAGAAAGACCUAAAACGCAGGUGUUGCCUCACAUCAAAUGGUAGAUUACAGAUCGAUUCAAGACAGAUCCUCUUUUUAGAACAACCCCAAGUCACUCAAAGCUGAUUUGCAGCCAAGAAUGCAUUGAAAGUGAUCAUGAAAGAUCCAUCUCUUUGGUAUAAACUUACUUUUUUUUUCAUUUAAUAUUCUUCAUCUACAGCAUCUGUAACCACAAACAUUGUGUUGGCACCAAUCACUUAUAUAUGAGAUAAGAUUCUAUGUAAAUCUUCUAAAGAAGUUCGAAACCACACGUACCAACUCGACACAGUAUCUGUGUCAAUAGUAGAAGAUAUCCACGAGCAGAAUGAAUGAAUGAACAGAGGGAAGGAGCUUUGAGCAAACCUGUUGAGGAAGAGAAGGCGAAUGAAUGAAGCCAAGCUUUCCUGUUGGUUGAUGCGGAGUCGCGUCUUGCCUUCUUAGCUGUCGAUUGCUAGCAUGGAGAGAGGGAGACAAGGAAACAAGUAGGAUUCGCACUAAUCAGACUAUCAACCUAAAAUUUGGAUGAUCUAAACUCACAGGUUAACUUCUUUGUAUCUAUAAAUAAGCAUGGCAACUAAAACCAAGAAGAGAUUACUGUCUUAUCAAUCUAAAUUCGUCUUCCUCAAUCUUCUUACAAGCCAUCCCCUAACAUUCGUUUUCGUAUUACCUCUUCCUAAGAAUUAAAAGUCAUAUUUAGUCCACCGGCAUUAAACUUUGUUCUGUAAGAAGGCUUCAUCCCAUUUGGACGCAGCAUUUGAAGCAGCUCCAUUGUGGCGGCCAUGGAUCAAAGGAGUUCUGAAGGGCCCAGGAUCCAUAAAAAGACACAACAAUUGCUACCGAGGGAUUUGGAUGAGGAAGCCAUUUAUCUGCUUCAUGAUCAACACACAACAAUUGCAAGUGCGGCCAUUAAGCUUUUCUAGAUUUCCUCCUUGAAACCAGAGAAGGCUACGCUGAUAUGUCGUAUAUGGUGGUCAGGUCUCUCGGAACAUAAAAUACAAGAAACUGAUACCUUUCUUUUAACUUCCUGAACAUAAAAUAAACGACUCGUCAAAAUGAGAAGACAAAACCCUGCAAAUCGAAAUAACGUUCAUAACAUAAAAUAAACGACUCGUCCGUUCGAGAUUUGAUCUCUCCAAAAUCCUCGUUACUGUGUAUAAUGAUGCUGCUGUGAGAGGUAUUCGCUUGCAACCACAACUAAAUCCAGCAAACAAAACAUACGAGAUGUAAGGGAAAGAUAUUUAGACUUGUCUGAAGGAUAAGUCAAGCCAACUCUCCCUUCUCCAAGUUGUCAUCUUGGUUUUAAUGUACAGCUGCGUCAUCAGAUUCUCUAUUUCUCUGGAUCAGAUCGAUGCAUCCAACCCCAUCACAGUUUUCCUUUAGUCGGACAACACAAUCAUAAACAGCACGAAGAUGGCAUAUAAAGCUAGGAAAAGACAAUGUUCUAAGAGCCACGAAAAGGUUUUAGGCUUGCGAUAAGUGACAUGACAAUAGCCCACACAAAAUAAUAAGAUUACUUAAUUACCCUUAACUUAAUUCAUUUUAGAGUGUAUUUACAUGAAGAAAACGAACUCUCUCUCCAUUCGUCCUUGUCUCUCCCUCCGACUACCUCUCCCAUCGUCUUCAGUUCGCCUCAUCUCCAUCUAUCACUUCUCUUUUAUAUGUUGCUCUCCAUCUUUUCUUUAUUUAUCUUCUUUUGUUAAUUUAUGGCCCACUCCUCUACGUAUAAAAAUCCUUACUUGAUAAUCGAAUUGCAUUUUUAAUUUUUAAAUAUUAUCAUAUAUUAUUUAAUUUAGAUAAAGAUUUAUGUUUAGGAGGAUAGUUAAUAUUAUUAAUCUUAUCUUUUUUUUAUUUUUCUAAGAUUAUUCUUUUUUGAAUAAUUUUGGCAUAUUAGAUUUUUAUUAAUAUUUUUUUAGAAAAAAUAAACUAACGGUAGAAUCUGACCCAGCAAUUAUAUAUAUAUAUAUAUAUAUAUAGAUAAUUGUCCAAAUUAUAAAAAGAAAACUACAGUGUUCAAAUUAGCCUAAACCAAUUUAAAAUCAGUCCAAAUCGAUUCAUCAAUAUUUUAAUUUUAAAAGUUAUAAAUGGUUUUUAAUUUAACUAGUUCAAACUGAAUUAAAUUAAUUUUAAUUUAAAAAAUAUCAAUUAAAUUUAUUAUUAAGUUUCUAAUCAAUUCAAACCGAUUAAUCAAAUAGGAUAGAUAACUAAUUUUAUAAAUGAUAUGAGGUCAAUUUCAUAAAUCUUAUCAUAACGCUGAGAUCAAAAUUUCUGAUUUAAAUUAAAUUAAUUUAUUUUAAAAAAUUAUUUAAAAUUAUAAAUCGAUUAACUGGUUAAUCGAACCGGAUUAAUAAGUUUUGAAAUGAUUUGAUUAAAUAAAUUUUAAUUAAUUUUGAUUCGAACUAUGCUACCUUAAUCGAAUCGAAUCCCAAAAACACAAUUCGAUUCGGUUCGGAUCUGAACACCCGGAAACUUGCUGAUAAGAGCAUAAGACCCAUCGACGUGGAUAAGGCCAUCAAACUAACGUGCAGAUCUGCCGUGCAUCCGCUGGCAAGGAGACUGACAUGAUCACCUGAUUUGACCAAAGAAACUUUUCAGUCAACGUGAAGAUAAUUAUUGAUUCGAUCAUCUUAUUAGAAAUUUGAGAGAUGAAAAACUUGAUUUUAUUAAUCCUAUCAUUAUACUUCUCAUUGGUUUAUUAUUUAUUUACUUUAAUAAUGUAAUCACUCCAAUCAUUUCCUUUGUUUUAAUGGUGGAUUCACAAUCAUUUUGAAAUUAUCGAAAUAAUUACCAACUCUACAUAUAUCAGUCUAUUAUCUUGGUUUAAGAAUUUUUUAGUAAAAUUGAUUACAGAUGAAUUAAUUUUAUAUUCGAUUAUAUUUACGAUUUUACUAAUUGGGCUCAUUAAAUUAUUUAUUUAUUUAUUUAGUCUAAAUUAAUUAAUUUUAUAUAUUGUUGUCGGCUUAUUAACGCCAUUAGAGAGAGAGAGACGAGAGACGAGAGGGUAGUUGAUGUCAAUUUUUUUUUUUUUGGGACGCAACGUCGACGCGGUUUCAGUUCAGAAGAAAAGAGAGAACGCGGAGGAAGGAAGAAGAAGCAAGAAGAAGGACUUAGAGACUUUCCUCAUCACUCCGAAAACUAUAUCAUCAUCAGAUACCAGAUCAUAUUUGUCAUUGCUUUCUCCACUCCACCCUCUCUUGUUAUCGGUAGAAAUCUGCAUGAUGAAUCCAGCAUCAGAGUCUCGAUCAAGUCCUCAGGUUGUCGUCUUCUCAUCCCUUCUUCUUCUUCUUCUUCUUCUGCAACCAAACCGGAGAAGUUCUCCCUCACGGAUCUGCUCGCUCUUUCACAAACACCACUCCUCCUCCAUCCUCUUCUUCACUAAUCUCAUGUUUGAUUGUCUCGCAGCAACACCAAACCACUGUUAAUUCCACGACCGAGAUCCAGUUGCGGCCAAUAAUCGAUGACAUGUUUCAAAACUCAUGGGAAGCUGUAAGCACUCAGUUCCUUCUCAGCAUAAUAUGAAUCACUGUUUAUUAUUUCUGCUUUUUUUUCCUUGAAUUUCCUGACACAUCUUUUUCUUUUUGGAUCCCCAAAAAAAAUUUACACAUGCAAGAAAUUAAUACAAGUGAUUCUCAAGCCUUUGCUAAGCUUCUUGGAAAGAUAUGCAACUUCUUAAGACUUGUUUAAGCCUCAAAAUAAUUUUUUGAUAGGACAAAGACACAUGUUUUAGUUCUUCUUCUAUUUGCUUGCUAUAAACAACUUCCAACAAUAGGUUUUUCUGUAUCGGAUGGAAACAUGUAUUUAUUCGUUGCGUUGUCUUAUUCAUGUUUAUCGCUGCCUUUAGAUCUUCUGCUUCUUCUUUUCUCAAGAAUCUGAGGAUUUUGUCUAUCUUUGAUUCAGGCAGAAAGAGGUUAUGAAACAUGUAGCUAUUAUGAAUCCAAGUUGAAGCAAAUCCUACAGUUCGCCUUCAUUGAUAUCAUCAUCAGCUUAAUGGCAGUGUUUGCAGUUUUCAUAGCACAGCGAGAUCUGAAAGGCCAUGCAAACGAAUUGCACCUUCUCAUCUGCGGCUACCUCACCACCUGCAGUCUUCUCUGUGGGGUAACCCUAAUGUUCUUCACCAUCAAUUUGCUAAGUCGCAAGAAUCAGAGUGUCCAAAGAGGCCAGCAUACGACCACCGUUUUCCUACUCGUCAUUUCAUGCGCUCUCCUCAUCCUUACAGCAGCUGGUUUCUCAACUCUCCUCCAUAAACGCUCUAUGUUUCUGGCAGCCCUGCUUCCGGGAUGUUUGCUUCUCGGCACCCUCCUCUACUUCAUAUUCCACGCAGGCGAUGAUCAUGAUCAGAAUUCCACAGGAUAUGGAAGCUAUAAAUCAGAGCUGAAACAUUCGUUGGGUCUCUCAUCCACUGUUGUCUCCCUUGCAUUCAGUGGGCUGAUAACUACUCUUAUUGGGACCGCUAAAAGUAAUUCGGAUCAAGCCCUUACCAUAAACACGAAAAUCUGCAUCUUUCAGAUGUUCUUCGCCGCCAUGUUCGGCCUUCUGUUGAUGCUGCUCAGCUCAGUCCCACCGAGCUUCAAGCAGCAAAGCACCAGGGAGUUCCUUACCAAGCUCCUCAAAGCACUCAGCUACUCUCUGCUGGGCUCAUUGGCACUCAUAGCCGCUACGGCGGCUUCUGCUUUCCUUGACGUCUUCCUUGUACUGGUUCUCCUGCCGACACCAUUUCUUGGAGUCACUCUUUGGUUCUGCAUAGAGUGGCACAGCACCCAGAAACAGCCGCACGGACCGCGCACUACUACCAACGUUGGUCAUGAUCUCAAGCUCAAACUCAUUUCCAAGGUCGGUACUACCACGACAUCCAUCAGCUUCGGAGGUCUUACGGGCGCCUUCUCAGGAUUUAUCGGCAGAAAAGGCAGUGAAUUGCAGCUCAAGAUCUGCGUGCUGGUGAUGUUCUUCGCAUUUCUGUCCAGUUUCAGCGUGAAGCUGCUCACUUUCAGUACUCCAAAGCCAGGAACUCUGAUGACAGUUAUCAAAUCCUUAAGCACUUGCUCUGUCUUGCUGCUCCUAUUCUCUGCCAUUAUCGUCUUCUUCCUCGAGUUCCUGGGUGGCUGAGCACAACGAAAAUUACUACUUACUUGCUGCUCGGGGAAAUGCUCAUGUCACGUUGAAGUCAGUGGGAUUCGGUCAUAUCCUGAGAGAUCAGAUGGAAUGUGAACAUUGCAUUUGAUUACAGUGUAAGUUUCUUUUUUACUUUUAGAAAAAAAGCUAGAGAAUUUGAUUACAGCAUUAGUUGUUGUCAUCACAAAAACACCCCAGCAUGGCCCAUAUGGUUUUAGGGCUUGUCCAUAAAUAGCAUAAGAUUGAUGCAUUGAUUGCUCACUGUGUGCCCACAUGACUUCCAGAGACUUGUAGGGUUCAUAGAGAUGUGGUCCAUAUGUUUGAACUUUGGUUUGGCCAGCUCUAUAAAAAUUCGAUUUUCAUAAAAAAAAAAAAUUAUAAUCACAUAUGAAAAUGAUAAAUUAAAUUUAUUUUUGCGACAUCAUUUAGACUUCUUAUGUUUCUUUUAUCAUGUGAUCAGAGCAAAAUAAUCAAUUUUAAAAAUAGUUUCAAAUUAAGGAGCUUACAAAUAAAAAUAAAAAUUGAUACAUUCUAAUUCUAAUUCUAAUUUAAAAUGAUAAAUUCUAUUAUCUCUCUUUUUCCAUAUUCAUCCUUUAGUUCUUUUAUUUUUUUAUAUUAUUAUUAUAUUAUCGAUCAAUGUCUGUAGCCUCCUUUACAUCCUAAGCAUUAUCUUUUAUUUGGAGAUGGAUUUCUAAUAGUGUGUGCUCAUGUUCUUCCUCUACCAACCUUUCAUAAUGUCUAUUUUGUGUAUCACAUCAAUAUCUUUAGGCUUUUCAUACUCUUCUCUUGCCACCUCUGUCCUCUCGUGGAAAAUCCAAAACUACAUGGAUUUUCCAUCUUUCUACAAUAUUUACAAACAGAUCGGUUCCAUAGAAUGUGUUCCUGAUGAAUAUAUGUAUCGAUAAAGCAUGAGAUUGCAAGAAUCUAAUGGAAAAUAUGUUAGGUUUCCGAUUGCAAGGUGCCUAUUACGGUGGUAUGUUUCAGAAAAAUGGUUACUUCCUAGCAAAACCUGUGGAUGACAGUGCUAUCGAGAUGGAAAGGCAGAAGUGAAAGCAUAAGAUGCUAACCUCGAAGUCCGGAAGAAGUCUAUCGUUACAUAUAUCCAAGAUCGGAGCAGUUCAUGUGGAAGAUGGACGACAGUUCCCUCAGUAUAUCUGCAGAGAAGCAAGAUGAUCAGCUGCUGUCCCUAUGACUAUCCUGCGAGCUGUACUAGUGAAAUUAUUUGCAUAGAAGAUCUGAUUAGGGGAAAUGAAACUCGAGCGAGGGAGUCUGACCUGAAAGAUGAUGAUGAUGAUACAGUGAUGGUGCGAGCAGUUCUUACCAGAUCUAAGAUGAGUUUUGAGUACUGCCUGCAACCACGGCUAAAUCCAACAAGCAAUACAAAUGAUUUUGAAGGACAGAAGAUGCUCGUCUCAACUUGAUGUAAUGUAUUCUUUCCCUUCUCCAAGCUGUUUAGGUGCAUCUGCAUUUGGCUGGACUAAGAAUUUUCUAUUACCCGUAGUUCAUAAUUAAAGACUGUCAACUAUGUUAUAUAUCAGUUAGUUUAGCUCUUUCUGUCAGUAGCUCACGGACUCGGAAAAAUGAUCCCUACUCCUGUCACUGUUCUCCAUCACAGCUAAGUAGGAAGAAGUGACAACAUAGCAAAAGAGAUGAUCCAAAAUUCAUAAAAGCAUUUCAAAUUAUUAGAAACCCAACUAUGUCUUUAAACAUAUAUUGCUUUUGAGAAACAAUCUUGAUAGUAACAGAGAAAAAUAUGACAAGCUUCAAUCUUCUAUAUUUCUCUCAAGAAAAUUUUUAUAAUUUCAAAAACUCUAUAUCUUUAAUGACCUAACAUAUUGUCACGGACAAACUUCUAAAUAUGAUGUUUGAUAUAAUGCUAUGUAUGUCCGUGUCUUUUGGUAUGUUCAUACUUUGCACCGCAUGUAGAGGGAUGGUCAAAUGCUUAAUAGUCUCAUUUUAAUUGGGUUUGGUGGCUGCUUUAGGCUUAUAAAUAAAUGUUAUGUCAUGUGGACACUUGUGAGAGAUUUUCGAUCUGUAGUGGACCAUUUUGAUCAUUUGUUGUGUAACUGUUCAGAGCUUGUAAAGUCUGUUUGUAAUUUGAAUUAUCUAUGAAGUGUUUAUUGAAAUGUUUGCUUGUGGAUCCCAAGUGAGACGCUUUCUCUAACUCGUUUUCUCUUUUGUAGGUCCUAAGGGACCAUGGGAGGUUUCGGGGAGACUGAUCUUUGCGGACGAACACGCAAGGGUGCCGCACGACUUAGGCAAAAUUAACUAAGUCUGUGAUAAUACGGGGUUUAUAUAGUCCACAAAUAUACAUUACAUUAAUCGUAUUCAAGAUGAAUCAUUCUCUUUCAACAAACCCUUUCAAGAACCAAUAAACAAUUUGACUUAUCCUUUCCUAGACUUUUAAUAUAUUUUUUCUUAACGAAUCUCAAACUUUUCUUUUAAUGAAAUGAAUAUCUUUAUGACACUUGAACAAAUUUAAUUCCAACAGAAAAACCUAAUCAACUGCAUUCUUUCUUUGAAAAUUUCUUCUCCACUUGAUAUGAGAUGAUAACUAGCUAUCUCAUUAAUCAACGAUCGUCCAAAGUUGAUGGAUAUCAUGACCUUCGUCGGAACAAUUUUAAUCAUAAAAUAUUUACUCCAGUUACUAGUAUUUUUUGAACAAUCUUCUUUAUAUCUUCCGAAACGACUUCUUUAUAUCUCGCUCAAGUUUCAGGUCAGACUCUCUCGCUCAAGUCAUUACUAGUAGUUUUUGAACAAUCUUCUCCUAUAUUUUUUUUGAUAUCUUCCAGGAACGACUUCUUUCCAUUUGAUAUCGACAAGUGUUUCAGAUCGGACAGUUGAAUCAUCUCUAACAUCUCAAGACUCCAUUUGCGGCACCGAUGACUCUGCUCUUCCUGGAUUUCAUCGUCGUCGGUAUGCCCCAACUCCAACUUCACUACGCUAUCGCCGUGCGAGAUUUCCAGCCCGCCACAAGGAGCUGUCGUGAUCAGCAGGCCACAAGUAGCAACUUCGGAAGCACUUCUUCUUCCCGUCCGUCGCUAAUCUAUCAUAAUGAAUUCUAUAGUGAGAAAAGUAUGACGGAUCCAUUGUCGAGGAAGACUGAAGCCACUCAAUCGGGGCGCGGUGCGGUGCGGUGCGGUGGAUUGGAUCUGCGGGAGCGCACUGCGGGCCAUGUGCUCGACGCCUCGAUCGGGGCGCGCAUUGCCAUGCCUUCUCCUCCUCCUCCUCCCUCCUGCCUGUCCUCGUUGGCAGGCGGAUCCCAAAUAUGCCGGUAUAUAAAUUUAAUUUCCACUGUUUGUGUUCUUCGGCUUGUCUUGUUUGGACUCGCUGCGUCGAUCGCGUCGCCCGCACCGCGAGAGAGAUAGAGAGACGGUGGUUGUCAUCGGACGGUCCGUGUUGUGUCUCAAAGCCAUUUUGUUCCCCCUCUCAUCUUAAACCUUUUGGAUUAAAUUAAACCGCUAGGAAUUUAACUAUCGUUGGGUUCGGUGUGGCGAUGGUUAGCAUGAGCUAGAGAUAUAAGAAUAUAACGACCUAAACCAUUGAUCAAGUUAUUUAAGUUUCAAUUUGUAAUGAUAUAUUCAUCAAAUUUUAAUAAAUUAAUAUAUAAAGACGUUACAUUUAUAAACCUGAAUCAUUUAUAUAAAAUAUUUAAAUCUAAAAGCAGUAGGUAGAACUGGAGGAAGAAGACAAUGGCGGCGAAUUGGAGAAACAAGACGAAUGCUUAAGAUUUUGAUAACUCUCAUCAUAGUUCCUGCCUUUGGAGUCAUGAAAGUAAGCAGCUUCAAAGCUAAAAGUCUAUUAAUCAGUAUCUCUCUCUCAUCUUUCUAUUUUAGUUCAUAGAAAGACCUAAAACCCAGGUGUUGCCUCACAUCAAAUGGUAGAUUACAGAUCGAUUCAAGACAGAUCAUCUUUUUAGAACAACCCCAAGUCACUCAAAGCUGAUUUGCAGCCAAGAAUGCAUUGAAAGUGAUCAUGAAAGAUACAUCUCUUUGGUAUAAACUUAAUUUUUUUUUCAUUUAAUAUUCUUCAUCUACAGCAUCUGUAACCACAAACAUUGUGUUGGCACCAAUCACCUAUAUAUGAGAUAAGAUUCUAUGUAAAUCUUCUAAAGAAGUUCGAAACCACACAUACCAACUCGGCACAGUAUCUGUGUCAAUAGUAGAAGAUAUCCACGAGCAGAAUGAAUGAAUGAACAGAAGGAAGGAGCUUUGAGCAAACCUGUUGAGGAAGAGAAGGCGAAUGAAUGAAGCCAAGCUUUCCUGUUGGUUGAUGCGGAGUCGCGUCUUACCUUCUUAGCUGUCGAUUACUAGCAUGGAGAGAGGGAGACAAGGAAAGACGUAGGAUUCGCACUAAUCAGACUAUCAAUGGCUCUAAUAACUUUAUUAGAUCAUUCUAGAUUUGAUUACUCUAGAUUUGGAUGAUCUAAACUCACAGGUUACCUAUCCACCUAAGAUACCAUGCAUGCUUAUUUAUAGACUUCAAAAAAUAACUAAAACCAAGAAGAGAUCAUUGUCUUAUCAAUCUAAAUCCCUCUGAUACAGCAAUGUUUUUUUUUUUUGUCUUCCUUUUACAUUUUCUGUAAAAGCCAUCCCCUAACAUCCGUUUUCGUAUUACCUCUUCCUAAGAAUUAAAAGUCAUAUUUAGUCCUCCGGCAUUAAACUUUGUUUUGUAAGUAGGCUUCAUCCCAUUUGGAUGCAGCAUUCGAAGCAGCUCCAUUGUGGCCAUGGAUCAAAGGAGUUGUGAAGGGCCCAGGAUCCAUCAAAAACACAACAACUGCUACCGAGGGAUUUGGAUGAGGGAGCCAUUCAUCUGCUUCGUGAUCGACACACAACAAUUGCAAGUGCAGCCAUUAAGCUUUCCUAGAUUUCCUCCUUAAAACCAUAAGGCUACACUGAUAUGUCGUAUACGGUGGUCAGGUCUCUCGGAACAUAAAAUACAAGAAACUUAUACCUUUCUUUUAACUUCCAGAACAUAAAAUAAACGACUCGUCAAGAUGAGAAGACAGCAACUCUCCCUUCGCUUGCAACCACAACUAAAUCCAGCAAACAAAACAUACGAGAUGUAUGGGAAAGAUAUUUAGACUUGUCUGAAAGAUAAGUCAAGUCAACUCUCCCUUCUCCAAGCUGUCAUCUUGGUUUUAAUGCACAGCUGCGUCAUCCGAUUCUCUAUUUCUCUGGAUCAGAUCGAUGCAUUCAACCCCAUCACAGUUUUUCUUUAGUCAUGUGGGCACACAGUGAGCAAUAUAUCAAUACAUAUGGGAAGCAAUUUCACCUGUGUGCAUGCAUAUGGGAAGCAAAAAUAGUACAAAUCAAAUCUUGCAGAUUGUCGAGGACAAACAUGUAUAGAAAACUAGGAAGUAGCAGAAUUGUAAUGGAGAAGACGACACAAUACUCUUUGUGCCAAAGCCUUCAAGACCAGCGGGAUUGUUCAUCGAUGCAUUGCUUCAGUGAGAUGAUUGAUCGAUGAGUGCAAUGGCCACCGGAGUUGGCAGAAUUGACAAACCAACCGACUCAGCAGCCGCCAUAUCUGACCGAUCUUUUUCUCCGUACGUUGGAUUCUAAUUAAAGAAUAGGUGAGUUUCGGAUGGAUCUAUUUGGAUCAUACCUUAAUCGAAUAAAUAUCUCUCGGUCCAAACUUGGCGCGUGGACCGACCGGAUCGAAUCUGAGUUAGAUUGGACCAAAUGUUACGAUAUCACACGUACUAUUGAAGUAGCCGUAGAUCCGAUCAAUAUUUAAUUUAAAUCAGAACAAAACUAGAAUAAUAAAAAACUAGAAUCGAAUCGGAUCGAUAUAAAUUAAUGGAAUCUGAUUAAAUAAAAAAAAAAUCUGAAUAUCCCUACAAAAAAAGACAAUUGAAUCGAGUGAUCAAAUCGAAAAAAUUGAGAACUAAAUCACUAAUCAAUUUGAUUGGCUUAUCAGACGAUUUUGUUAAAAAACAAAAAAAUAAACAAAAUGAAUGAGUUUUGCAUAACCCACACAAAAUAAUAAGAUUAUUUAAUUACCCUUACCUUAAUUCAUUUUAGAGUCUCUCUCCUUUCGUCCUUAUCUCUUCCUCGGACUACCUCUCACAUCGCCUCGUCUCUUGUGUCUUCACUUCGUCUCAUCCUCAGCUAUCACUUCUCUUUUAUAUGUUGCUCUCCAUCUUUUAUUUAUUUAUCUUCUUUUCUUAAUUUAUGGUCCACUCCUCUACGUAUAAAAUCCUUACUUGAUAAUCGAAUUACAUUUUUUAAUUUUUAAAUAUUAUCAUAUAUUAUUUAAUUUAAAUAAAGAUUUAUGUUUAGGAGGAUAGUUAAUAUUAUCAAUCUUAUAUUUUCUAUUUUUCUAAGAUUAUUCUUUUUUUACUAAUUUUGGCAUAUUAUAUUUUUAUUAAUAAUUUUUUUAAAAAUAAACUAACCAUAUAAUAUAUAUAUAUAUAUAUUAAAUUAAAUUAAAUUGAUUUUAUUUUUAUUUUAUUUAAAAAUAUAUUUAAAAUUAUAAAUCGAUUAACUAACUGGUUAAUCAGAAUGGAGUAAUAAGUUUUGAAAUGAAUCGAAUCCAAAAAAACCCAAUUGGAUUCGGUUCGGAUCUGAACACCCGGAAACUGGCUGAUCUGCCGACAUUGUGUUGUCAUCCCCGUCAACGUGGAUCAGGCCAUCAAACUAACGUGCACAUCUUCCGUGCAUCCGACGGCAAGGAAGCUGACAUGAUCACCUGCGUAGGAAUGAAGCUUCCUCGAAUUGGUUUGACCAAAGAAACUUUUCAGUCAACGUGAAGAUAAUUAUUGAUUCGAUCAUCUUAUUUGAAAUUUGAGAGAUGAAAAAAUUCGAUUCUAUUUAUGAUUUUAUUAAUUGGGCUCAUUAAAUUAUUUAUUUAUUCAUUUAAUCUAAAUUAAUUAUUUUUGUAUAUUGUUGUCGGCUCGCCAUUAGAGAAAUAGAGAGAGAGAGAGAGAGACGAGAGGAUAUAUAUUUUUUGGGACGAAACGUUGACGAAGCUACAGUACAGAAGAAAAGAGAGACCGCGGAGGAAGCGUUCUCCAUUUUGCUUCCUCUCUUUCACCGACGAAGCAGGAAGAAGAAGAAGGAUCAGGAGACUUCCCUCCCUCACUCCUUAUACACGAAAACCAGAUCAUAAUCAGAUACCAGAUCAUAUCUGUCACUGCUUUCACCACUCCACCCUCUCUUGAACUCAGCUCUCGCCUUAUCGGUCGAAAUCUGCAUGAUGAAUCCAGCAUCAGAGUUUCCCUCAAGUCCUCAGGUUGUUGUCUUCUCAUCCCUUCUUCUUCUUCUUCUGCAACCAAACCGGAGAAGUUCUCUCUCACGGAUCUGCUCGCUCUUUCACAAACACCACUCCUACUCCAUCCUCUUCUUCACUGAUCUCAUGUUUGAUUGUCUCGCAGCAACACCAAACCACUGUUACUUCCACGACCGAGAUCCAGUCGCGCCCAAUAAUCGAUGACAUGUUUCAGAACUCAUGGGAAGCUGUAAACACUCAGUUCCUUCUCAGCAUAAUAUGAAUCACUGUUUAUUAUUUCUGCUUUUUUUUUUCCUUGAAUUUCCUGACACAUCUUUUUUCUUUUUGGAUCCCCCAAACAAAUUUACAUAUGCAAGAAAUUAAGCUUCUUGGGAAGAUAUGCAACUUCUCAAGAAUUGUUUAAGCCUCAAAAUAAAUUUUUGAUAGGACGAAAACAAAUGUUUUAGUUCUUCUUCUAUUUGCUUGCUAUAAACAACUUCCAACAAUAGGUUUUUCUGUAUCGGAUGGAAACAUGUAUUUGUUCGUUGCGUUGUCUUCUUCAUGUUUAUCGCUACCUUUAGGUCUUCUACUUCUUCUUUUCUCAAGAAUCUGAGGAUUUUGUCUAUCUUUGAUUCAGGCAGAAAGAGGUUAUGAAACAUCUAGCUAUUAUGAAUCCAAGUUGAAGCAAAUCCUACAGUUCGCCUUCAUUGAUAUCAUCAUCAGCUCAAUGGCACUGUUCGCAGUUUUCAUAGGACAGCGAGAUCUGAAAGGCCGUGCAAACGAAUUGCACCUUCUCAUCUGCGGCUUCCUCACCACCUGCAGUCUUCUCUGUGGGGUAACCCUAAUGUUCUUCACCAUCAAUUUGCUAAGUCGCAAGAAUCACAGUGUCCAAAGAGGCCAGCAUAUGACCACCGUUUUCCUCCUCGUCAUUUCAUGCGCUCUCCUCAUCCUUACAGCAGCUGGUUUCUCAACUCUCCUCCAUAAACGCUCCAUGUUUCUGGCAGCCCUGCUUCCGGGAUGUUUGCUUCUCGGCACCCUCGUCUACUUCAUAGUCCACGCAGGGGAUGAUCAUGAUCAGAAUUCCACAGGAUAUGCGAGCUAUAAAUCAGAGCUGAAACACUCGUUGGGUCUCUCAUUCACUGUUGUCUCCCUUGCAUUCAGUGGGCUGAUAACUACUCUUAUUGGGACCGCUAAAAGUCAUUCGGAUCAAGCCCUUACCAUAAACACGAAGAUCUGCAUCUUUCAGAUGUUCUUCGCCGCCAUGUUCGGCCUUCUGUUGAUGCUGCUCAGCUCAGUCCCACCAAGCUUCAAGCAGCAAAGCACCAGGGAGUUCCUUACCAAGCUCCUCAAAGCACUCAGCUACUCUCUGCUGGGCUCAUUGGCACUCAUAGCCGCUACGGCGGCUUCUGCUUUCCUUGACGUCUUCCUUGUACUGGUUCUCCUGCCGACACCAUUUCUUGGAGUCACUCUUUGGUUCUGCAUAGAGUGGCACAGCACCCAAAAACAGCCGCACGGACCGCGCACUACUACCAACGUUGGUCAUGAUCUCAAGCUCAAACUCAUUUCCAAGGUCGCUACUACCACGACAUCCAUCAGCUUCGGAGGUCUUAUGGGCCUCUUCUCAAGAUUUAUCGGCAGAAAAGGCAGUGAAUUGCAGCUCAAGCUCUGCGUGCUGGUGAUGUUCUUCGCAUUUCUGUCCAGUUUCAGCGUGAAGCUGCUCACUUUCAGUACUCCAAAGCCAGGAACUCUGAUGACAGUUAUCAAAUCCUUAAGCACUUGCUCUGUCUUGUUGCUCCUAUUCUCUGCCAUUAUCGUCUUCUUCCUCGAGUUCCUGGGUGGCUGAGCACCACGAAAAUUACUACUUACUUGCUGCUCGGGAAAAUGCUCAUGUCAUGUUGAAGCCAGUGGGAUUCGGUCAUAUCCUGAAAGAUCACAUGGAAUGUGACCAUUGCAUUGGAUUACAGUGUAAGUCUUUUUAUUUGAGAAAAAAGCUAGAGAAUUUGAUUACAGCAUCAGUUGUUGUCAUCAAAAAAACAUCCGAGACAUGGCCCAUAUGGUUUUAGGGCUUGUCCAUAAAUAACAUAAGAUUGAUGUAUUGAUUGCUCACUGUGUGCCCACAAGACUUCCAGAGACUUGUAGGGUUCAUAGAGAUGUGGUCCAUAUGUUUGAACUUUGGCUUGGCCAGCUCUAUAAAAAUUCGAUUUUGAUUAAAAAAAAUAUAAUCACAUAUUAAAAUGAUAAAUUAAAUUUAUUUUUGCGACAUCAUUUAGACUUAUCUUUCUUUUAUCAUGUGAUCAGAGCAAAAUCAUCAAUUUAAAAAAAUAGUUUCAAAUUAAGGAGCUUACAAAUAAAAAUAAAAAUUGAUACAUUCUAAUUCAACUUCGUUCUAUUUAUUUAAAAUGAUCUCUUCUAUUAUCUCUCUUUUUCCAUAUUCAUCUUUUAGUUCUUUUAUUUCUUAUAUUAUUAUUAUAUUAUCGAUCAAUGUCUGUUAGCCUCCUUCACAUCCUAAGCAUUAUCUUUUAUUCGGAGAUGGAUUUCGAAUAGUGUGUGCUCAUGUUCUUCCUCUACUAACCUUUCAUAAUGUCUAUUUAGUGUAUCACAUUAAUAUCUUUAGGCUUUUCAGACCCUUCUCUUGCAACCUCUGUCCACUCGUUUCACUGGUCGCUUACAGUACAUGCCCUAGAAAAAAAAAGGCUCAUACUCCAAAACUACAUGGAUUUUCCAUCUUUCUACAAUAUUUACAAACAGAUUGGUUCCAUAGAAUGUGUUCCUGAUGAAUAUAUGUAUCGAUAAAGCAUGAGAUUGCAAGAAUCUGAUGGAAAAAAUGUUAGGUUUCUGAUUGAAAGGUGCCUAUUACGAUGGUAUGUUUCAGAAAACUGGUUACUUCCUAGCAAAACCUAUGUAUGACAGUGCUAUCGUGAUGGAAAGGCAGAAGCGAAAGCACAAGAUGCUAACCUCGAAGUCCGGAAGAAGUCUCUCGGAGCAGUUCAUGUGGAAGAUGGACGACAGUUCCCUCAAUAUAUCUGCAGAAAAGCAAGAUGAUCAGCUGCUGUCCCUGUGACUAUCCUGCGAGCUGUACUAGUGCAAUUAUUUGCAUAGAAGAUCUGAUUAGGGGAAAUGAAACUCGAGCGAGGGAGUCUGACCUGAAAGAUGAUGAUGAUGAUACAGUGAUGGUGCGAGCAGUUCUUUCCAGAUCUAAGAUUAGUUUUUAGUACUGCUUGCAACCACGGCUAAAUCCAACGAGCAAUACAAAUGAUUUUGAAGGACAGAAGAUGCUCGUUUCAACUUGAUGUAAUGUAUUCUUUCCCUUCUCCAAGCUGUUUAGGUGCAUCUGCAUUCGGGCUGGAUUAAGAAUUUUCUAUUACCCAUAGUUCAUAAUUAAAGACUGUCCACUAUAUUAUACAUCAGUUAGUUUAGCUCUUUCUGCCAGUAGUUCACAGGAACUAAAAUUACUUUCUCUCACUAGUAGGAACUCGGAAAAAUGAUCCCUACUCCUGUCACUUUGCUCCAUCACAGCUAAGGAGGAAGGAGUGACAACAUACCAGAAAAGAGAUGAUCCAAAAUUCAUAAAAGCAUUUCAAAUUCACAAGAGCAGUGAAAGCAGAGGCCACCUCCGCUUGUGCCUCGAGGAUCACUUGUUUCAUAUUGGUGCAGCCGCUUAGCUUCGGAAUCUUGGACGAUGUAAGUCGAAGGACCGACGAGACGACAGUGAGAAAUCGUCAGCUGUCGAAGGCGACGAAGCAGAUCUUCCGGAAUGACUUCUUUCCAUUUGAUAUCGACGAGUGUUUCAGAUUGGACAGUUGGAUCGUUUUCUAACAUCUCAAGACUCCAUUUGCGGCGCCGAUGACUCUGCUCCUCCUGGAUUUCAUCGUCGUCGGUGUGCCCCAACUCCGACGGCAGUUAAAUUAAAAAUUAUCUAAUGAAGAACAUAAAACUCUUAAACAUCUUUAAAAAAGAUAUAUCUUUUUAUAUUCAUUGAUUUUUUUUCUUAACAUUAAUUAAUUAAUAUGAAUAAUAUAUUACUUUAUUUAAAUUAUUAACUUCCUUAUUUAUGUAGUAUGAUUAAGGAAAUGAUUAAAAUUGAUUUCCUUAAUUAUAUGGAUAUGUUAGAAAAUUUUCUAAUUAAUUAAAUUAUUAAUUGAUUUAUUUCUAAUGAGUGAUGUAACUUUUAGGAAGUAAAAAGUUUAUAUUUUAUUUUUGUGUUUUAACCAUAAGAAAUAAAUAUUAUAUUUUUAUCUUUGUGUGUGAAAGUAAAAUAAAAUUAAAUCAUUACUAACGGAGAGCUCAUCUUGUAGGCUCCUCCUCUUUUAUUUCUCUUGUUUUGAAAUAUUUAAUAUUAUGAUUAUUAUAAUUUUAUGAUAUAUAAUAAUAUUUUUAUUUUUUAAUUUUUAUGAUUAAUAAAUAAUGAUAAUUGAUUUAUGAUGUUUGAAUGAUUAUUUUACUUAUAAUGGUCUCUUAAGCUUAAGUGAAUUUUAAAAUUGAUUUAAUUGUUAAAAAUUUUAUUUUUGAAUUAACAUAAUAAUUUUAAUUUUUAAUUAGAUCUAUAUGUGUUUUAAGAAUUAUGUGUGAAUUUCUAUAAUUUAAUUAGUUUUAAAUUUAAGAUCAUGAAUUUAAAUUUUUUAAUUCAUAGGUUUAAAUUACUCUAUAAUAAUUUAAAAUAUUAAAAUAUAAUUUAAUAAAAUGAGUCUGAGUAGGUCUGACGUAAGUCAUGUUGAUUUGUUAAAUUGGGUCGACCCGACCCUUGUGGUCAUGUAUGACCCAACUUAUCUGACUAUACAUGAAUUAGCUUACGUAGUCAUGUACACCAAAUUCAUGUGGUUAGGCAUGAUCUAGCCCAUGUAGCCAUGUAUGAUCUAGCCCAUAUGACUCAAAUUUAUAUGGCCAAGCAUGAUAACCUAGCUCAUUUAGUUAUGUAUAACAUAGCAUAUGUGACGAAGCAUGACCCAACCCAUAUAGCCAUGUCUGACUCAACUAAUAUGGUCAGGCAUGACCUAGCCCAUGUAGCCACGACUCAACCUAUAUAGUCAAAUACGACUCAACUCAUGUGAUUAUGUAGGACCCAACUCAUAUGAUAAAAUAUGACAACUCAUGUGGCCAAGCAUAACCCAACUCAUAUGAUCAUGUAUAACCCAACCCAUAUGGUAAUAUAUGACUCAACCCAUAUGACCAAGCAUAAUCCAACUUAUGUGGCCAAGUACGACUCAAUUGAUGUGAUCGGAUAUAACCCAAACUCAUGUGUCGAUGUAUGACCUAACCCGUGAACUAAGCGUAACCUAAUUUAGUGGUAAGGCUCAGCUCAGUCCACGAAGUUCAGCCUACCCAACUAUGCGAUUGGUGUUAGGCACAUUAUCGUUCCUCUAUACAUCCCAUUGUACCUCAACCUAACAUAUUAUUUGGGAUAGGCAUGUGCAGCGCACAUGACUCAUUUAAGACUCAUAUGAGUUGAUUUGGUUUGACUUAGCACUAUACAACAUAGUCUAAUUUCCUAUCUUAUUAUUGGUUUAAGCUCGUUAAUUGACUGAAUCAUAAUAUUUUAUUGAUUCAAACAGAUUUUGGGUGAUUUUAGACCAACUUGACUAGUUCAAAACUACUUGCCCUAAUCGAAAUCAAUCAAAUCUAAAUUGACCAGUCUAUGGUAAUUCAAUAUCAGUCCUAUAAGGAUUUGAUAUUGGUUUCGUUAGCUCCUAAUUGAAUAGAAUUUUGUUCAAGUUAAUUGAGCUAUUCCAAUUAGGUUUUGGUUGAUUGAGAAUUAAGUCAUUGAUUUCUUAUGUUUUUAUGAUUUGAUGAAUUUAAAAAUUUUAUUUGAAAGUAUUAUUUGAAAAUGAUUAUUAGUUUUUAACUUUUUAAGUUUAUGAUAUUAAUAUGAUUGUUACAUGUAGUAUAUGUAACUAUGUUAGUGGUCUACAUUACAAGGGUAACCUAUGAAAGGAGUUGCAUGCCUAUUAUAGUAUGGAGCAACUAAUGGAUAUAGUUUAACAGAUUAUACAUAAAAUAUGGUUCCUCAUAGUAUUUUAUUAUACUAUUUCUUGGAUACAUGUGUAAAUGAAUGGAUUAAUGAUCAUGGCUAUUUAUGUAUCUCUUUUGAGGAUAGGUAAAUAUCUCUUUUGAGGAUAGGUAAAGUGACUCCAUUCGGAGAUUAGCAAGCUAUCAAAUAUGAUAGUUAGAUUAUUCAUAUUUGUGUAUACGAGAGAUAUCACUCUAUCCAUUAUUGGGAAUAUGAUAUGGGUUCUCUCUAUCUACCGUUGAAGUGAAUUCAUCCCAUUGAGUAUGUCUUUCCAUUCGUUAUUGGGAGAGUACACCAUCGAGUGUAAUGUACGUCUUUGUUAUGUAUGUGUUGUAUAUAACUAAUGUAUAUUUUUAUUUAUUACAUAAGAAUUAUCAUUAUUUUUUUGAUGUAUGAUUUUUAAUGAAUCAAUAAAUUAUUAUUUCAUAUUAAAUUAUUGAUAUUUACAUAUGUUUCAUAAAUAUUGAAGAUUAUUUUUAUAAUUUUUUAAAUAUUCCUAGCAUGUGUGAUUAUUGAUAUAUUUUUAUCUUAUAUUUAUUUUCAGAAUAAUCUACUACUUGGUAAUAAAUCUAAGGUUUAGAUUUUAGAGACAUUUUCUUCGCUUUUAGUUUUACCACGAAGAUAGGGACUUGAAUUCAAGGAUGAAAAAAAUAAAGUGUCUUCUGUAAAUUAUGAAUGAUAAAAUAAUAAUUUAAUUUUUUUUAUAAAUAUGAUAUGUGAUAAUUUAAUGAUAUCAUAACAAUGAUUUUGACGAUCUAUUAGAAUAUAAGAUUUUAGGGUUAAAAUAUUAGAUAGGCCAAUUAGUUUUUGAGAUUUAGAUUUUAAAAAUUAUAUAAUAAUACAACUAAAGCAUUUUAAAAAUAUUAAGAUCAUUUUAUUGAGUCAAAUAUUAUUUAUUUAUUUUUUGUAAGAAAAUGAUUAGUUAAAAAUGUUACAUAAAAGAGAAUCUUGAUGGGUGCAAUAGCCAUAUGGGAGUUGGUAGACUUGACUACGCGCACCGACACCUUGUCAAUCAUCUUUUUUUUUUUCCGUAUAUUAUUUUCUAAUUAAAGAAUAGGUCAGUUUCGGAUGGAUCUAUUUGGAUCAUAGCUUAAGUGAAUGAACAUCUUUCGUGUGUGUAUAUAUAUAUAAAGGUAUUUAAAAUAAAUAAAUCGAUUAAUUGAUUAAUCAAACCGAAUUAAUAAGUUUCGAAACGAUUUGAUUAGAUAAAAUUAGAAUUAAUUUUGAUUCAAACUAUCUUAUCUAAAUUGAAUCGAAAAAAACAAUUCGGUUCGGUCCGAUUUGAAUGCAUCUGAUCACCCGGAAACCAGCUGAUAAGAGGAUAAGACCCCGACAUUGUGUUGUCAUCCCCGUCAACGUGGAUAAGCACAUCGAACUAAUGUGCAUCCGCUAGCAAGGAGACUGACGGAACUAAUGUACUAAUUGGGCUCAUUAAAUUAUUUAUUUAUUUAAUCUAAAUUAAUUAUUUUUAUAUAUUGUUUUUCGGCUUAUUAAAGACAUGAGAGAGAGAGAGAGAGAGAGAGAUGAGAGGGUGGCUGAAGUCAAUAGUUUUGUUGCCAAAGCGUUCACGUGGCUACAAAUCAGAAGAACAGAGAACGCGGAGGACGAGAGAGAGAGAGAGAGAGAGAGAGAGAUGAGAGGGUGGUCAAUAGUUUUGUUGCCAAAGCGUUCACGUGGCUACAAAUCAGAAGAACAGAGAACGCGGAGGACGCGUCUCCAUUUUGCUUUCUCUCUUUCCCCGACGAAGAAGGUAGAAGGACCUAGAGACUUCCCUCCCUCACUCCUUAUACUCGAAAACUAUAAAAUCAUCUGAUACCACAUCAUACUUGUCACUGCUUUCUCCACUCCACCCUCUCUCCUUAUCGGUCGAAAUCUGCAAGAUGAAUCCACCAUCAGAGUCUCGCUCAAGUCAUCAGGUUCUUCUCAUCCCUUCUUCCUCUUCUUCUUCUUCUUCUGCAACCAAACCGGAGAAGUUCUCUCUCUCUGAAUCCACCAUCAGAGUCUCGCUCAAGGCCUCAGGUUCUUCUCAUCCCUUCUUCUUCUUCUUCUGCAACCAAACCGGAGAAGUUCUCUCUCUCUCUCUCUCUCUCUCUCACAGAUCUGCUCGCUCUUUCACAAACACCACUCCUCCUCGAUCCUCUUCUUCACUAAUUUGAUGUUUGAUUGUCUCGCAGCAACACGAAACCACUGUUCCUUCCACGACCGAGAUCCAGUUGCGGUCAACGGUCGAUGGCAUAUUUCAGAACUCAUGGGAAGCUGUAAGCACUCAGUUAGUUCCUUCUCAGAAUAAUAUGAAUCAUUGUUUAUUGUGCUACAACAAGAAUUUCUGCUUUUUUUUCCUUGAAUUUCCUGACACAUCUUUUUCUUUUUGGAUCCCCCAAACAAAUUUACAUAUGCAAGAAAUUAAGCUUCUUGGGAAGAUAUGCAACUUCUCAAGACUUGUUUAAGCCUCAAAAUAAAUUUUGAUAAGACAAAGACACGUGCAUUAGUUCUUCUUCUAUUUGCUUGCUAUAAACAACUUCCAACAAUAGGUUUUUCUGUAUCGGAUGGAAACAUGUAUUUAUUCAUUGCGUUGUCUUCUUCAUGUUUAUCCCUCCCUUUAGGUCUUCUAUUUCUUCUUUUCUCAAGAAUCUGAGGAUUUUGAUUUUGUCUAUCUUUGAUUCAGGCAGAAAGAGGUGAAGUUGCAAGAGGUCAUGAAACAUGUAGCUAUGAAUCCAAGUUGAAGCAAAUCCUACAGUUCGCCUUCAUUGAUAUAAUCAUCAGCUUAAUGGCAGUGUUUGCAGUUUUCAUAGCACAGCGAGAUCUGAAAGGCCAUGCAAACGAAUUGCACCUUCUUAUCUGCGGCUUCCUCACCACCUGCAGUCUUCUCUGUGGAGUAACCCUAAUGUUCUUCACCAUCAAUUUGCUAAGUCGCAAGGAUCACAGUGUCCACAGAGGCCAGCAUGUGACCACCGUUUUCCUCCUCGUCCUUUCAUGCGCUCUCCUCAUCCUUACAGCUGCUGGUUUCUCAACUCUCCUCCAUAAACGCUCCAUGUUUCUGGCAGCCCUGCUUCCGGGAUGUUUGCUUCUCGGCACCCUCCUCUACUUCAUAUUCCACGCAGGGGAUGAUCAUGAUCAGAAUUCCACAGGAUAUGCGAGCUAUAAAUCAGAGCUGAAACAUUCGUUGGGUCUCUCAUCCACUGUUGUCUCCCUUGCAUUCAGUGGGCUGAUAACUACUCUUAUUGGGACCGCUAAAAGUCAUUCGGAUCAAGCCCUUACCAUAAACACGAAGAUCUGCAUCUUUCAGAUGUUCUUCGCCGCCAUGUUCGGCCUUCUGUUGAUGCUGCUCAGCUCAGUCCCACCAAGCUUCAAGCAGCAAAGCACCAGGGAGUUCCUUACCAAGCUCCUCAAAGCACUCAGCUACUCUCUGCUGGGCUCAUUGGCACUCAUAGCCGCCACGGCGGCUUCUGCUUUCCUUGACGUCUUCCUUGUACUGGUUCUCCUGCCGACGCCAUUUAUUGGAGUCACUCUUUGGUUCUGCAUAGAGUGGCACAGCACCCAGAAACAGCCGCACGGACCGCGCACUACUACCAACGUUGGUCAUGAUCUCAAGCUCAAACUCAUUUCCAAGGUCGCUACUACCACGACAUCCAUCAGCUUCGGAGGUCUUAUGGGCGCCUUCUCAGGAUUUAUCGGCAGAAAAGGCAGUGAAUUGCAGCUCAAGCUCUGCGUGUUGGUGAUGUUCUUCGCAUUUCUAUCCAGUUUCAGCGUGAAGCUGCUCACUUUCAGGACUCCAAAGCCAGGAACUCUGAUGACAGUAAUCAAAAUCUUAAGCACUUGCUCCGUCUUGUUACUCCUAUUCUUCGCCAUUGUCGUCUUCUUCCUCGAGUUCUUGGGUGGCUAAGCACCACGAAGAAGACUACUUACUAGCUGUCGGGGAAAUAAUGCAUACGGCAGUGGGAUUCGGUCAUAUCCUGAGAGAUCAGAUGGAAUGUGACCUUUGCAUUUGAUUGCAGAGUAAGUUUUUUUUCCUUUUAGAAUAAAGAUAGAGAAUUUGAUUACAGCAUCAGUUGUUGUCUUAAUUGUCUUAAUUGCUCUGUGUGUGCCCACAUGACUUCCAGAGACUUGUAGGGUUCAUAGAGAUGUGGUCCAUAUGUUUGAACUUUGGUUUGGCCGGCUCUGUAAAAAUUCGAUUUUAAUUAAAUAUCUUCUAUUAUCUCUCUUUUUCCAUAUUCAUCCUUUAGUUCUUUUAUUUUUUAUAUUAUUAUUAUACUGUCGAUCAAUGUCUGUAGCCUCUUUCACAUCCUAAGCAUUAUCUUUUAUUUGGAGAUGGAUUUGUAAUAGUGUGUGCUCAUGUUCUUCCUCUACCAACCUUUCAUAAUGUCUAUUUUGUGUAUCACAUUAAUAUCUUUAGGCUUUUCAUACCCUUCUCUUGCCACCUCUCUCCACUCGUUUCACUGGUCGCUUACAGUACAUGCCCUAGAAAAAAAAGGCUCAUACUCCAAAACUACAUGGAUUUUCCAUCUUUCUACAAUAUUUACAAACAGAUCGGUUCCAUAGAAUGUGUUCCUGAUGAAUAUAUGCAUCGAUAAAGCAUGAGAUUGCAAGAAUCUGAUGGAAAAUAUGUUAGGUUUCUGAUUGAAAGGUGCCUAUUACGGUGGUAUGUUUCAGAAAAAUGGUUACUUACUAGCAAAACCUGUGGAUGACAGUGCUAUCGAGAUGGAAAGGCAGAAGCGAAAGCAUAAGAUGCUAACCUCGAAGUCCGGAAGAAGUCUAUCGGAGCAGUUCAUGUGGAAGAUGGACGACAGUUCCCUCAGUAUAUCUGCAGAAAAGUAAGAAGAUCAGCUGCUGUCCCUAUGACUAUCCUGCGAGCUGUACUAGUGAAAUUAUUUGCAUAGAAGAUCUGAUUAGGGGAAAUGAAACUCGAGCGAGGGAGUCUGACCUGAAAGAUGAUGAUGAUGAUACAGUGAUGGUGAGAGCAGUUCUUACCAGAUCUAAGAUGAGUUUUGAGUACUGCUUGCAACCAUGGCUAAAUCCAACGAGCAAUGCAAAUGAUGUGUAAGGACAGAAGAUGCUCGUCUCAACUUGAUGUAAUGUAUUAUUUCCCUUCUCCAAGCUGUUUAGGUGCAUCUGCAUUCGGGCUGGAUUAAGAAUUUUCUAUUACCCAUAGUUCAUAAUUAAAGACUGUGCACUAUAUUAUUUUAUAUAUCAGUUGGUUAGUUUAGCUCUUUCUGUCAGUAGUUCACAGGAACUAAAACUACUUUCUCUCACUAGUAGGAACUCGGAAAAAUGAUCCCUACUCCAUCACAGCUAAGGAGGAAGGAGUGACAACAUACCAGAAAAGAGAUGAUCCAAAAUUCAUAAAAGCAUUUAAAAUUCACAAGAGCAGGGAAAGCAGACGCCACCUCUGCUUGUGCCUCAAGGAUCACUUGUUUCGUAUUGGUGCAGCCGCUUAGCUUCGGAAUCUUUGACGAUGCAAGUCGAAGGACCGACGAGACGACAGUGAGAAAUCGUCAGCUGUCGAAGGCAAGGAAGCAGAUCUUCCGGAACGACUUCUUUCCAUUUGAUAUCGACGAGUGUUUCAGAUUGGACAGUUGGAUCGUCUCUAACUGAUCUUGGCUCCAUUUGCGGCGCCGAUGACUCUGCUCCUCCUGGUCGGUAUGCCCCAACUCCAAUUUCACCACGCUAUAGCCGUGCGAGAUUACCAGCCCGCCACAAGGAGCUGUCGUGAUCAGCAGGCCACAAGAAGCAACUUCGGAAACACUUCUUCUUCCUGUCCGCCGCAAAUCUAUCUUCUGCUUCGUGUCCACGGCACUAGCACGCACAAGUUUAUUCUCGGAUACGAGGAAUGGUGGGAGAUUAUUCUCAUAUAUGUUGGAACUUUAUAGAAUUCCACAUUAAACUAAAAUCUUCAGAGGAAAGCAAGACGAUGCGAGGGCAGGAAAUCGAAAGAAAUGGUUUUAGGAAGGGUCUAUUAGUCUUUGUUCCGAAACUUGUCGAAUUCUAACAAGAUAAUGUCGUGUCCAUUAUUGUUUGACAUGACAGGUCUCACUCACAUCCUUUUCGAAAGCCACUACUCUAUCAUAAUCUCCUCCAAUGGGCAAGUGGUUCUCAGCUGC
RNAcentral lists this long non-coding RNA (36659 nucleotides) under Musa acuminata (dwarf banana). RNAcentral's name for it is "long non-coding RNA (MACU_LNC001504)". The record is from RNAcentral. Lineage: Eukaryota; Viridiplantae; Streptophyta; Magnoliopsida; Zingiberales; Musaceae.